GACCUCUCAUUCUUUCAUUCUCGUCCUUGGAUUGGCCGUGAGACAUUUAUCCACUCUCUUUAGGCCUGCGCGUUGCAAGACGGGAGAAAAGGAGGGGCGUCCGCAGGCAAGAUGGAGCCGACUGUGGCCGGUGUGGGCCGGCUAGAGGAAGAGGCACUGCGGCGAAAGGAACGGCUGAAGGCCCUACGGGAGAAAACCGGGCGCAAGGACAAGGAAGAUGGGGAGCCAAAGACCAAGCAACUUAGAGAAGAGGAGGAAGAAGGCGAGAAGCACCGGGAACUUAGACUGCGGAACUAUGUCCCAGAGGAUGAGGACCUGAAGAAAAGGAGGGUGCCCCAGGCCAAACCAGUUGCAGUGGAAGAGAAGGUGAAGGAGCAACUGGAGGCCGCCAAGCCCGAGCCUGUCAUUGAGGAGGUGGUGAGUGCCCGGGCUGCCCUGGCCUCCUUGCUGCUUGUGUGUGUCCUGUUUCUCUUCCCCACCUGCCCUCCCGCUGCCCCCUUCCUUCUCGUCGCUUCGUUAUUCCCUUGCCACCUGCCUCUUUGUCCUUGUCCCUCUCCUUCCUCCUCCUCUUUCUCCCAUCUCUCUCCCUCUCUAGCCUGCCUUCCCCCUUCCCCUGGGGCAGCCUCUCCGUCCUGAUAUGUGUCUCCUCCCUCUCCAGGAUCUGGCCAACCUCGCUCCUCGGAAGCCUGACUGGGACCUCAAGAGAGAUGUGGCCAAGAAGCUGGAGAAACUAAAAAAGAGGACUCAGAGGGCCAUUGCCGAGCUGAUCCGUGAAAGACUGAAAGGUCAGGAAGACAGUCUAGCCUCUGCAGUGGACGCUGCCACCGAACAGAAGGCCUGUGACUCUGAUUGAGGCAUGCCCUGCCCUGCCAUGCGCCUGUCAGGCCUGUCCUGCAGGGGUGGUCUUGGGCAGGGAUUGGAGCGAGGCUUGCCAUCGCCUCCAGUUUGGCUUCUGAGCAGACUCCCUGUCAAGUCUGAAACCCCCAUGGGUGAGGUCAGCUCCUUGUCUCCUGAGUGGCCCCUGCCAUUCUAAAUGGAGGCAGAACAGCAGCAGCUCUGGGUGUGCCUGUGUCUGUACAUGUGUAUGUAUAUAUGUCUGUAUAGAUGUAUGUAUUCUGAACUUUGAAAAAAAAUCUCUGGAAAUAGACAAGAAAACCCCUGUGUGUGGCA
Molecule: non-coding RNA, 1170 nt
Organism: Saimiri boliviensis boliviensis (Bolivian squirrel monkey)
Lineage: Eukaryota; Metazoa; Chordata; Mammalia; Primates; Cebidae
Source: RefSeq, a predicted model, not a curated record